RNAcentral lists this ribosomal RNA (2210 nucleotides) under Stenotrophomonas sp. Sm6012. Its description in RNAcentral is "partial 23S ribosomal RNA". It matches the Rfam family "Bacterial large subunit ribosomal RNA", at positions 1 to 2258 of the family's 2925-position model. Lineage: Bacteria; Pseudomonadati; Pseudomonadota; Gammaproteobacteria; Lysobacterales; Lysobacteraceae. The record is from RNAcentral.
GGUCAAGCGAAUAAGCGCACACGGUGGAUGCCUUGGCGGUCAGAGGCGAUGAAGGACGUGGCAGCCUGCGAAAAGUAUCGGGGAGCUGGCAACAAGCUUUGAUCCGGUAAUGUCCGAAUGGGGAAACCCACCCGCUUGCGGGUAUCCUGCAGUGAAUACAUAGCUGCUGGAAGCGAACCUGGUGAACUGAAAUAUCUAAGUAACCAGAGGAAAAGAAAUCAACCGAGAUUCCGUAAGUAGCGACGAGCGAACGCGGACUAGCCCUUAAGCUGAUUUGGUUCUAGGAAAACGCUCUGGAAAGAGCGGCCAUAGAAGGUGAUAGCCCUGUAUCUGAAAGGGCCAUUUCAGUGAAGACGAGUAGGGCGGGGCACGUGAAACCCUGUCUGAACAUGGGGGGACCAUCCUCCAAGGCUAAAUACUACUGACCGACCGAUAGUGAACCAGUACCGUGAGGGAAAGGCGAAAAGAACCCCGGAGAGGGGAGUGAAAUAGAACCUGAAACCGUGUGCGUACAAGCAGUAGGAGCUCCGCAAGGAGUGACUGCGUACCUUUUGUAUAAUGGGUCAGCGACUUACUGUUCGUGGCAAGCUUAACCGUAUAGGGGAGGCGAAGGGAAACCGAGUCUGAUAAGGGCGCAUAGUCGCGGGCAGUAGACCCGAAACCGGGUGAUCUAGUCAUGCCCAGGGUGAAGGUGCGGUAACACGCACUGGAGGCCCGAACCCACUCCCGUUGCAAAGGUAGGGGAUGAGGUGUGAUUAGGAGUGAAAAGCUAAUCGAACCCGGAGAUAGCUGGUUCUCCUCGAAAGCUAUUUAGGUAGCGCCUCAUAUGUAUCCUCUCGGGGGUAGAGCACUGUUAUGGCUAGGGGGUCAUCGCGACUUACCAAACCAUUGCAAACUCCGAAUACCGAGACGGACUGUAUGGGAGACACACGGCGGGUGCUAACGUCCGUCGUGAAAAGGGAAACAACCCAGACCCACAGCUAAGGUCCCAAAUUUUGUGCUAAGUGGAAAACCAUGUGGAAAGGCACAGACAGCCAGGAGGUUGGCUUAGAAGCAGCCACCCUUUAAAGAAAGCGUAAUAGCUCACUGGUCGAGUCGGUCUGCGGGGAAGAUUUAACGGGGCUAAGCACAGAACCGAAGCUUGGGGUGCAUAACUUUGUUAUGCGCGGUAGAGGAGCGUUCCGUAAGCCGUUGAAGGUGGAUUGAGAAGUCUGCUGGAGGUAUCGGAAGUGCGAAUGCUGACAUGAGUAACGAUAAUGCGGGUGAAAAACCCGCACGCCGAAAGCCCAAGGUUUCCUUGCGCAACGUUAAUCGGCGCAGGGUGAGUCGGCCCCUAAGGCGAGGACGAAAGUCGUAGUCGAUGGGAAGCAGGUUAAUAUUCCUGCACCUCGCGUAAGUGCGAUGGAGGGACGGAGAAGGUUAGGUGUACCAGGCGUUGGUUGUCCUGGGGAAAGGCGGUAGGUUUGGAUCUUUGGCAAAUCCGGGAUCCUUUAAGACCGAGCACCGAGACGAGCCUUUAUGGCGAAGUCACUGAUACCACGCUUCCAGGAAAAGCUCCUAAGCUUCAGCUUACGCAGACCGUACCGUAAACCGACACAGGUGGGUAGGAUGAGAAUUCUCAGGCGCUUGAGAGAACUCGGGUGAAGGAACUAGGCAACAUGGCACCGUAACUUCGGGAGAAGGUGCACCCUUUUUGGUGGCUCGUGCGAGCUAUAGCUGAAGAGGGUCGCAGUAACCAGGCCGCUGCGACUGUUUAUCAAAAACACAGCACUCUGCAAACACGAAAGUGGACGUAUAGGGUGUGACGCCUGCCCGGUGCUGGAAGGUUAAUUGAUGGGGUCAGCCGCAAGGCGAAGCUCUUGAUCGAAGCCCCAGUAAACGGCGGCCGUAACUAUAACGGUCCUAAGGUAGCGAAAUUCCUUGUCGGGUAAGUUCCGACCUGCACGAAUGGCGUAACGACAGCGGCGCUGUCUCCACCCGAGACUCAGUGAAAUUGAAAUCGCUGUGAAGAUGCAGCGUUCCCGUGGCAAGACGGAAAGACCCCGUGAACCUUUACUAUAGCUUUACACUGAACGUUGAGUUCGUCUGUGUAGGAUAGGUGGGAGGCUAUGAAACUGUGGCGCUAGCUGCAGCGGAGCCAUCCUUGAAAUACCACCCUGUCGUGCUUGACGUUCUAACCUGGGCCCAUUAUCUGGGUCGGGGACCGUGUA